RNAcentral lists this ribosomal RNA (1563 nucleotides) under uncultured bacterium. Its description in RNAcentral is "bacterial SSU rRNA". It matches the Rfam family "Bacterial small subunit ribosomal RNA". The record is from RNAcentral.
AGAGUUUGAUCCUGGCUCAGGACGAACGCUGGCGGCGCGCUUAACACAUGCAAGUCGUACGCUGGGGCUUCGGCCCUGGAGUGGCGGACGGGUGCGUAACACGUGAGCAAUCUGCCCAGAUGGGGGGGAUACCCCGGGGAAACCCGAGUUAAUCCCGCAUGUGGUUAUCCGGCCGGAUGGCUGGGUACCCAAAGGUCCUUCACGGGACUCUGUCUGGAGGAGCUCGCGGCGUAUCAGCUAGUUGGUAGGGUAAUGGCCUACCAAGGCGACGACGCGUAGGGGGUCUGAGAGGAUGGCCCCCCACAUGGGGACUGAGAUACGGCCCCGACUCCUACGGGAGGCAGCAGUGGGGAAUCUUGCGCAAUGGGCGAAAGCCUGACGCAGCGACGCCGCGUGCGGGAGGACGCUUUUCGGAGUGUAAACCGCUGUCGGGAGGGACGAACCGUGUCGGGAGGCAAUGCCCGGCACCUGACGGUACCUUCAAAGGAAGCACCGGCUAACUCUGUGCCAGCAGCCGCGGUAAUACANAGGGUGCAAGCGUUGUUCGGAAUUAUUGGGCGUAAAGCGCACGUAGGCGCGCGUUAAGUCUGACUGUGAAAGACCGGGGCUCAACCCCGGGGCUGCAGCGGAUACUGGCCGGGCUUGAAACACGUAAAGGGCUGGCGGAAUUCCGGGUUGUACGGUGGAAUGCGUAAAGAUCCGGAAAAACACCCGGUUGGCAAAAGCGGCCACCUUGGGCUUGGUCUGAACCCUUAGGUGCAAAGGCGUUGGGGAGCCGAACAGGAUUAAAUAACCCUCUGGGUUGAGUUCCAACCGCCGGGUUAACGAUUGGCACUCCCGCGGGGGGAUCGAGCCCUUUCCGUGGCCAAGCUAACGCGACAAGUGCCCCGCCUGGGGAGUACGGCCGCAAGGCUGAAACUCAAAGGAAUUGACGGGGGCCCGCACAAGCGGUGGAGCAUGUGGUUUAAUUCGAAGCAACGCGAAGAACCUUACCUGGGCUUGACAUGCAUCAGAAAGCCGAGUGAAAGCUCGGUCCUCCUUCGGGACUGUUGCACAGGUGCUGCAUGGCUGUCGUCAGCUCGUGUCGUGAGAUGUUGGGUUAAGUCCCGCAACGAGCGCAACCCUUGCCUGUUGUUGCCAGCAUGGCCGAAAGGCUGAUGGGGACUCGACAGGGACUGCCGGUGAUAAACCGGAGGAAGGUGGGGACGACGUCAAGUCAUCAUGGUCCGUACGUCCAGGGCUACACACGUGCUACAAUGGCUGGGACAAACCGCUGCAAUCCCGCGAGGGGGAGCGAAUCGGAGAAACCCAGUCCAAGUUCGGAUUGCAGUCUGUAACUCGACUGCAUGAAGCUGGAAUCGCUAGUAAUCGUGGAUCAGCUACGCCACGGUGAAUACGUUCCCGGGCCUUGUACACACCGCCCGUCACGCCAUGGAAGUCGGGAGCGCCCGAAGUACGUGGGCCAACCUCGCAAGAGGAGGCAGCGUCCCAAGGCGAGCUCGGUGACUGGGGCGAAGUCGUACAAGGUAGCCGUAGGGGAACCUGCGGCUGGAUCACCUCCUU